RNAcentral lists this ribosomal RNA (253 nucleotides) under uncultured bacterium. RNAcentral's name for it is "partial 16S ribosomal RNA". It matches the Rfam family "Bacterial small subunit ribosomal RNA", at positions 524 to 776 of the family's 1533-position model. The record is from RNAcentral.
UACGGGGGGGGCAAGCGUUGUUCGGAAUUACUGGGCGUAAAGGGCUCGUAGGUGGCCAACUAAGUCAGACGUGAAAUCCCUCAGCUUAACUGGGGAACUGCGUCUGAUACUGGAUGGCUUGAGUUUGGGAGAGGGAUGCGGAAUUCCAGGUGUAGCGGUGAAAUGCGCAGAUAUCGGGAAGAACACCCGUGGCGAAGGCGGCUCUCUGGGACGGUACUGACGCUGAGACGCGAAAGCGUGGGGAGCGAACAGG